CGAGCGGACAGAAGGGAGCUUGCUCCCGGAUGUUAGCGGCGGACGGGUGAGUAACACGUGGGUAACCUGCCUGUAAGACUGGGAUAACUCCGGGAAACCGGAGCUAAUACCGGAUAGUUCCUUGAACCGCAUGGUUCAAGGAUGAAAGACGGUUUCGGCUGUCACUUACAGAUGGACCCGCGGCGCAUUAGCUAGUUGGUGGGGUAAUGGCUCACCAAGGCGACGAUGCGUAGCCGACCUGAGAGGGUGAUCGGCCACACUGGGACUGAGACACGGCCCAGACUCCUACGGGAGGCAGCAGUAGGGAAUCUUCCGCAAUGGACGAAAGUCUGACGGAGCAACGCCGCGUGAGUGAUGAAGGUUUUCGGAUCGUAAAGCUCUGUUGUUAGGGAAGAACAAGUGCGAGAGUAACUGCUCGCACCUUGACGGUACCUAACCAGAAAGCCACGGCUAACUACGUGCCAGCAGCCGCGGUAAUACGUAGGUGGCAAGCGUUGUCCGGAAUUAUUGGGCGUAAAGGGCUCGCAGGCGGUUUCUUAAGUCUGAUGUGAAAGCCCCGCGGCUCAACCGGGGAGGGUCAUUGGAAACUGGGAAACUUGAGUGCAGAAGAGGAGAGUGGAAUUCCACGUGUAGCGGUGAAAUGCGUAGAGAUGUGGAGGAACACCAGUGGCGAACGCGACUCUCUGGUCUGUAACUGACGCUGAGAGCGAAAGCGUGGAGAGCGAA
This 726-nucleotide ribosomal RNA is filed under the name Bacillus pumilus. Its description in RNAcentral is "bacterial SSU rRNA". It matches the Rfam family "Bacterial small subunit ribosomal RNA", at positions 63 to 772 of the family's 1533-position model. The record is from RNAcentral. Lineage: Bacteria; Bacillati; Bacillota; Bacilli; Caryophanales; Bacillaceae.